CGCCCUUAGAGUUUGAUCCUGGCUCAAGAUGAACGCUGGCGGCGUGCCUAACACAUGCAAGUCGAGCGAAGCGCUUUACUUGAAUUCUUCGGAAGGAAAGUAUUGUGACUGAGCGGCGGACGGGUGAGUAACGCGUGGGUAACCUGCCUCAUACAGGGGGAUAACAGUUAGAAAUGACUGCUAAUACCGCAUAAGACCACAGCACCGCAUGGUGCGGGGGUAAAAACUCCGGUGGUAUGAGAUGGACCCGCGUCUGAUUAGCUAGUUGGUAAGGUAAGGGCUUACCAAGGCGACGAUCAGUAGCCGACCUGAGAGGGUGACCGGCCACAUUGGGACUGAGACACGGCCCAAACUCCUACGGGAGGCAGCAGUGGGGAAUAUUGCACAAUGGGGGAAACCCUGAUGCAGCGACGCCGCGUGAGUGAUGAAGUAUUUCGGUAUGUAAAGCUCUAUCAGCAGGGAAGAAAAUGACGGUACCUGACUAAGAAGCACCGGCUAAAUACGUGCCAGCAGCCGCGGUAAUACGUAUGGUGCAAGCGUUAUCCGGAUUUACUGGGUGUAAAGGGAGCGUAGACGGAGAGGCAAGUCUGAUGUGAAAACCCGGGGCUCAACCCCGGGACUGCAUUGGAAACUGUUUUUCUAGAGUGUCGGAGAGGCAAGUGGAAUUCCUAGUGUAGCGGUGAAAUGCGUAGAUAUUAGAAGGAACACCAGUGGCGAAGGCGGCUUGCUGGACGAUGACUGACGUUGAGGCUCGAAAGCGUGGGGAGCAAACAAGAUUAGAUACCCUGGUAGUCCACGCCGUAAA
This 805-nucleotide ribosomal RNA is filed under the name uncultured bacterium. Its description in RNAcentral is "bacterial SSU rRNA". It matches the Rfam family "Bacterial small subunit ribosomal RNA", at positions 1 to 806 of the family's 1533-position model. The record is from RNAcentral.